RNAcentral lists this ribosomal RNA (1372 nucleotides) under uncultured bacterium. RNAcentral's name for it is "bacterial SSU rRNA". It matches the Rfam family "Bacterial small subunit ribosomal RNA", at positions 28 to 1381 of the family's 1533-position model. The record is from RNAcentral.
GAUGAACGCUGGCGGCGUGCCUAAUACAUGCAAGUCGAGCGAACGGACGAGAAGCUUGCUUCUCUGAUGUUAGCGGCGGACGGGUGAGUAACACGUGGAUAACCUACCUAUAAGACUGGGAUAACUUCGGGAAACCGGAGCUAAUACCGGAUAAUAUUUUGAACCGCAUGGUUCAAAAGUGAAAGACGGUCUUGCUGUCACUUAUAGAUGGAUCCGCGCUGCAUUAGCUAGUUGGUAAGGUAACGGCUUACCAAGGCAACGAUGCAUAGCCGACCUGAGAGGGUGAUCGGCCACACUGGAACUGAGACACGGUCCAGACUCCUACGGGAGACAGCAGUAGGGAAUCUUCCGCAAUGGGCGAAAGCCUGACGGAGCAACGCCGCGUGAGUGAUGAAGGUCUUCGGAUCGUAAAACUCUGUUAUUAGGGAAGAACAUAUGUGUAAGUAACUGUGCACAUCUUGACGGUACCUAAUCAGAAAGCCACGGCUAACUACGUGCCAGCAGCCGCGGUAAUACGUAGGUGGCAAGCGUUAUCCGGAAUUAUUGGGCGUAAAGCGCGCGUAGGCGGUUUUUUAAGUCUGAUGUGAAAGCCCACGGCUCAACCGUGGAGGGCCAUUGGAAACUGGAAAACUUGAGUGCAGAAGAGGAAAGUGGAAUUCCAUGUGUAGCGGUGAAAUGCGCAGAGAUAUGGAGGAACACCAGUGGCGAAGGCGACUUUCUGGUCUGUAACUGACGCUGAUGUGCGAAAGCGUGGGGAUCAAACAGGAUUAGAUACCCUGGUAGUCCACGCCGUAAACGAUGAGUGCUAAGUGUUAGGGGGUUUCCGCCCCUUAGUGCUGCAGCUAACGCAUUAAGCACUCCGCCUGGGGAGUACGACCGCAAGGUUGAAACCCAAAGGAAUUGACGGGGACCCGCACAAGCGGUGGAGCAUGUGGUUUAAUUCGAAGCAACGCGAAGAACCUUACCAAAUCUUGACAUCCUUUGACAACUCUAGAGAUAGAGCCUUCCCCUUCGGGGGACAAAGUGACAGGUGGUGCAUGGUUGUCGUCAGCUCGUGUCGUGAGAUGUUGGGUUAAGUCCCGCAACGAGCGCAACCCUUAAGCUUAGUUGCCAUCAUUAAGUUGGGCACUCUAAGUUGACUGCCGGUGACAAACCGGAGGAAGGUGGGGAUGACGUCAAAUCAUCAUGCCCCUUAUGAUUUGGGCUACACACGUGCUACAAUGGACAAUACAAAGGGCAGCGAAACCGCGAGGUCAAGCAAAUCCCAUAAAGUUGUUCUCAGUUCGGAUUGUAGUCUGCAACUCGACUACAUGAAGCUGGAAUCGCUAGUAAUCGUAGAUCAGCAUGCUACGGUGAAUACGUUCCCGGGUCU